Molecule: transfer RNA, 76 nt
Filed under: Candidatus Peribacteria bacterium
Lineage: Bacteria; Candidatus Peregrinibacteriota; Candidatus Peribacteria
Description: tRNA-Lys
Rfam family: tRNA
About the family: Transfer RNA (tRNA) molecules are approximately 80 nucleotides in length. Their secondary structure includes four short double-helical elements and three loops (D, anti-codon, and T loops).
Source: RNAcentral
GAAUUCGUAGCUCAGUUGGUAGAGCAGGACCCUCUUAAGGUCAAGGUCCCGGGUUCGAGCCCCGGCGGAUUCACCA